Long non-coding RNA from Cyprinus carpio (common carp), 642 nucleotides. RefSeq lists it as uncharacterized. The transcript has 3 exons. The record is from RefSeq and is a predicted model, not a curated record. NCBI's taxonomy places the organism in Eukaryota, Metazoa, Chordata, Actinopteri, Cypriniformes, Cyprinidae.
GCCACCUACCGUACUGGAUCAACACUAAUUAAAGAUGGAUGACGUGGACAGCAAUCAGACGAUGCAUAUAAAAAUCCAAAAAGGCAGAUACCUGCCCGAAUUGAAGAGAUGCACCACAUGCUGCAAGGACUUUCACUGCCCAUUCUGUAGUUCAGCUUUGUUCCACCCAUCAAAGUUGAGCAAGAUCAGAACCCAUUUAGAGAGCCAUUUCAAUCGUGCAGUUAUCCAUGAAGGGUAUACCAUUCACAGAUGUGGGUUACACUGCCGACCACAGUUGCAUUACUACUAUAUCCACUGCCAGUGAAUGCUGUUACGUAAAUCUGAUUUUAUUAAACACUUGUCUUCGUGCAAGGAGAAGCACCCUGACAUAACCAGCACAAUCCCAGCUCUGACAUUGACAACCAUCCCAUCUCCAAAAAAGAUCAAGUUGGCAGUUCCAACAACAGCAACCAACACCAUCCCAGAUCCAUUUACAAAAACCACCACCAUGCCAGAUCCAGCAAUUACAACCACCACCACUCUGCCAUCAACCCCAAGUGAACAGAUGCAAAGGGUCUGUGUGAAGACAAAACUAAAGAAAAAGUGUCCCAUAUGCCACCAUCUCAUGCAUAAGACAAAUUUAAAGAGGCACAUAGAAAGGAA